Molecule: ribosomal RNA, 449 nt
Filed under: uncultured bacterium
Lineage: Bacteria
Description: partial 16S ribosomal RNA
Rfam family: Bacterial small subunit ribosomal RNA
Source: RNAcentral
AACGAACGCUGGCGGCAGGCUUAACACAUGCAAGUCGAACGAGAUCUUCGGAUCUAGUGGCAGACGGGUGAGGAACACGUGGGAACAUCCCUUUCAGUUCGGAAUAACGUUGGGAAACUAACGCUAAUACCGGAUACGUCCUUCGGGAGAAAGAUUUAUCGCUGAAAGAUUGGCCCGCGUCUGAUUAGCUAGUUGGUGAGGUAACGGCUCCCCAAGGGUACGAGAAGUAGCUGAUCUGAGAGGAUGAUCAGCCAGAUUGGGACUGCGACACGGCCCAGACUCCUACGGGAGGCAGCAGUGGGGAAUCUUAGACAAUGGGGGAAACCCUGAUCUAGCCAUGCCGCGUGAUCGAUGAAGGCCUUAGGGUUGUAAAGAUCUUUCAGUGGGGAAGAUAAUGACUGUACCCACAGAAGAAGCCCCGGCUAACUCCGUGCCAGCCGCCGCUGUAA